AGCGAACGCUGGCGGCAGGCUUAACACAUGCAAGUCGAGCGGGCACUUCGGUGUCAGCGGCAGACGGGUGAGUAACACGUGGGAACGUACCCUUUGGUUCGGAAUAACGCUGGGAAACUAGCGCUAAUACCGGAUACGCCCUUUUGGGGAAAGCUUGCCGGCGAAGGAUUGGGCCGCGGCCGAUUUGGUAGGUGGUGGGGUAAUGGCCUACCAAGGCGACGAUCAGUAGCUGGUCUGAGAGGAUGAUCAGCCACCCUGGGACUGAGACACGGCCCAGACUCCUACGGGAGGCAGCAGUGGGGAAUAUUUGACAAUGGGCGCAAGCCUGAUCCAGCCAUGCCGCGUGAGUGAUGAAGGCCUUAGGGUUGUAAAGCUCUUUUGUCCGGGACGAUAAUGACGGUACCGGAAGAAUAAGCCCCGGCUAACUUCGUG
This 432-nucleotide ribosomal RNA is filed under the name uncultured bacterium. Its description in RNAcentral is "partial 16S ribosomal RNA". It matches the Rfam family "Bacterial small subunit ribosomal RNA", at positions 29 to 507 of the family's 1533-position model. The record is from RNAcentral.